Molecule: long non-coding RNA, 1273 nt
Organism: Alligator mississippiensis (American alligator)
Lineage: Eukaryota; Metazoa; Chordata; Crocodylia; Alligatoridae
Exons: 3
Source: RefSeq, a predicted model, not a curated record
UUGCUGCUGGCUGCAACUGUGGACUACAAAUCCCAGAGGCUCCUGGAAGCAGGAAGAGGAAGUGAUGAGCAAUCCUGCAGAAUCCUGUUGCUCUGAUUUUGGACUGCAAAUUCCAGAGACCUCGGGGGCAGCAGGAAGAGGAAAUGAACAUACAGCCAGAGAGCCAGGCUCUAGCACCUCCCCCGCCCCUGACUUUCUGGCCUGAGCCAGUUGCAGGCAUGUGGCUGCAUUUCCUCAAUCAGAGCACAAGAAACAAAAAAUGCACUCCAAGACUUAUUAUGGACUACAGUCAAAGGUCCUGGAGCUGCAUGCAGGGAUGAGGUGAUCCUUGGCAGCCAUGAUGCAGCAUCAUGGUCACCACCACGCACAGCCAGGGCCCUGUGGAUGCACUGGCUUCUCCAGAUGAGGACCCUGGAUAGGAACCUCCUCCUGAACCACAUGGUCACAGCAUUGGAGGACCAGCUGGAGGAUGCUUGGGCUUUGUGGGCAGAGGACAUGGCCUGCCAGGACAGCUGGUGGGUAGAAGAUGUUGUCCACAAGGUGUAGGACUGGGAGUUCUGGGCUCUGCUUCUGGCUCGAGCAUGAGCAGGUGGAGGUCCUGCAGGAAUAAAAUUCCAUACUGGGCCCAGGCACUGCAGGCCAUGGAUGAUUACUGAUGGAUACUGGACAUUAUUCUGACCCUGGCCAUUGUGUUCGUGCCACCCGCUGCCUGGCCCGAACCCUAGUGCCACCUGGCCCCUGGUAGCCAGCCACCACCCAGCAGCAGGCCCCUGCCUGGGCCUGGGAGGAGUUCCUGCACUGCCUCCAUUAGCCAGUAUCCCCAUGUCUGGUACCUGUCCUGGAUUUGGUGCCACCCACCCCCUCCUGUUUGGGCCCAGCCCUGCCACUCACCCUGGCUCUACACAGAAGCAAAGCCAGAGCUGCCUGUAGUGGGUUCAAAACCGCAUGCCAGCCCUGAUGGCCCUGGACACUGUGCGCCAGAGGGGAAGCUGCCCAUGCUUGGAGACCACUAAUUGCUAUUGCCCCUGGGCAAGCCCCCCUCCUAUUGUGCUCACUAUAAUCUGUGAACCUGCAGGGGAUUGGCCAGAGGCUAAGGUGCUGGCUACCUGUCCCCAGGCUCUUCCCCUAAUCACCUCCUCUCCAUAGCUCCCAAUCCUGGGGUAGCAUACAAAGGACCAAAGUUUUCACUGGGAAGAAGGUGUUUUAUUGUUGGUGGGUGAGUUGGGUGCUGGAAGCGCUCUGUUUGUUGGGGAAGAAGGGGGGUUCUGUCUGA